UACGAAGGGAGCUAGCGUUGUUCGGAAUCACUGGGCGUAAAGCGUGCGUAGGCGGCUUCUCGAGUCAGGGGUGAAAUCCCACAGCUUAACUGUGGAACUGCCUUUGAAACUGAGAGGCUAGAAUGUGAGAGGGGAUGGCGGAAUUCCUAACGUAGAGGUGAAAUUCGUAGAUAUUAGGAGGAACACCCGUGGCGAAAGCGGCCAUCUGGAUCACAAUUGACGCUGAUGUACGAAAGCGUGGGUAGCAACAGG
Molecule: ribosomal RNA, 252 nt
Filed under: uncultured bacterium
Lineage: Bacteria
Description: partial 16S ribosomal RNA
Rfam family: Bacterial small subunit ribosomal RNA
Source: RNAcentral